Cannabis sativa is the source of this 522-nucleotide long non-coding RNA. RefSeq lists it as uncharacterized. The record is from RefSeq and is a predicted model, not a curated record. NCBI's taxonomy places the organism in Eukaryota, Viridiplantae, Streptophyta, Magnoliopsida, Rosales, Cannabaceae. The transcript has 2 exons.
GUCAAAAACUCCGCUUCUUCUUUUUCUUCUUCUUCAAUGGUUAAAGAUGGGAGUGAAGAAGGGUUUAACUGAAUUGGAGGCUGAGCUUAAAAAGAUGGCACCACCUAAUGGUAGAGCUAUUUUGAUAUUCAGGGCAAGGUGCCUUUUUUUCUCUUUUGAAUCUUCUCUUAGAAAAUUGUUUAUUGAAAAUUCUGAUUUUUACUCUUUAGUUUGAUUCUUCUUUAUAUAUCUUAUUCAAAAAUAAAAAAUCUUAAAUCAAACAAUUGAAUCUGUCAAAAGAGUAAGUAGAAUGGAGAAAGAAGCUCACUGAUUUCAGGUGCAAAACAACCCUCGCCGGCGUUCGUGCAAAACUCAACCCCACAUCCGAGAAGACCACACAACGGAAUUGGGGUUAGGGUUUUUUGGGGCGUGGUAUUUGAUUCCGGGGUCGGUGGGGUUGGUCGGAGAACCGCCAGAUGUGGCAGGGCGAUGAUGAAUAAAGGGAGAAAGUGUUGCUGAGAGAGAGAAGAAAAGGGAUUUAGG